CUACGGGUCGCUGCAGUGGGGAAUAUUGCACAAUGGAGGAAACUCUGAUGCAGCAACGCCGCGUGGAGGAUGACACUUUUCGGAGCGUAAACUCCUUUUAUAUAGGAAGAAGAUGACGGUACUAUAUGAAUAAGCGCCGGCUAACUCCGUGCCAGCAGCCGCGGUAAUACGGAGGGCGCAAGCGUUACUCGGAAUCACUGGGCGUAAAGAGCGUGUAGGCGGAUUAAAAAGUCAGAAGUGAAAUCCUAUAGCUUAACUAUAGAACUGCUUCUGAAACUCUUAAUCUAGAAUAUGGGAGAGGUAGAUGGAAUUUCUGGUGUAGGGGUAAAAUCCGUAGAGAUCAGAAGGAAUACCGAUUGCGAAGGCGAUCUACUGGAACAUUAUUGACGCUGAGACGCGAAAGCGUGGGGAGCAAACAGGAUUAGAUACCCCUGUAGUC
Molecule: ribosomal RNA, 439 nt
Filed under: uncultured bacterium
Lineage: Bacteria
Description: partial 16S ribosomal RNA
Rfam family: Bacterial small subunit ribosomal RNA
Source: RNAcentral